This 301-nucleotide ribosomal RNA is filed under the name uncultured bacterium. RNAcentral describes it as "partial 16S ribosomal RNA". It matches the Rfam family "Bacterial small subunit ribosomal RNA", at positions 509 to 807 of the family's 1533-position model. The record is from RNAcentral.
CAGCAGCCACGGGAAUACAGAGGGUGCAAGCGUUAAUCGGAAUUACUGGGCGUAAAGCGCGCGUAGGUGGUUUGUUAAGUUGGAUGUGAAAUCCCCGGGCUCAACCUGGGAACUGCAUCCAAAACUGGCAAGCUAGAGUAUGGUAGAGGGUGGUGGAAUUUCCUGUGUAGCGGUGAAAUGCGUAGAUAUAGGAAGGAACACCAGUGGCGAAGGCGACCACCUGGACUGAUACUGACACUGAGGUGCGAAGGCGUGGGGAGCAAACAGGAUUAGAUACCCCCGUAGUCCCUGUCUCUUAUAC